Long non-coding RNA from Suricata suricatta (meerkat), 306 nucleotides. RefSeq lists it as uncharacterized. The transcript is spliced from 2 exons. NCBI's taxonomy places the organism in Eukaryota, Metazoa, Chordata, Mammalia, Carnivora, Herpestidae. The record is from RefSeq and is a predicted model, not a curated record.
AAAAAGUCUUCAUGUUAGACCAUCUGCUCGCUGGAAGCUUUUGUGACAACAAACACCACCAAGAUGGAGAAACCAUUGAGAGAAGCAAGCAAACAAAUCAUAAACAGGCAAUACGAGUAAAAAAGCAUCUGGUGAUUUCUUCGAAGUUCCUUCCUAGAAGCUAUUAAUUGAAAAAUACACUGAAGAAGUAGAUUCAGAGGAGACAAGGGAAAAAUGGACAAAACAUUUCAAUACCAUGACCAUGUUGCAACGCUUUAUCUAUUUUCUCAGCAAUAAAAAUAGGCAAUCAAUUGCUAAUUAUCUGGA